This 665-nucleotide ribosomal RNA is filed under the name uncultured bacterium. Its description in RNAcentral is "bacterial SSU rRNA". It matches the Rfam family "Bacterial small subunit ribosomal RNA", at positions 60 to 719 of the family's 1533-position model. The record is from RNAcentral.
AGUCGAGCGGAUGACAGGAGCUUGCUCCUGAAUUCAGCGGCGGACGGGUGAGUAAUGCCUAGGAAUCUGCCUGGUAGUGGGGGACAACGUUUCGAAAGGAACGCUAAUACCGCAUACGUCCUACGGGAGAAAGCAGGGGACCUUCGGGCCUUGCGCUAUCAGAUGAGCCUAGGUCGGAUUAGCUAGUUGGUGAGGUAAUGGCUCACCAAGGCGACGAUCCGUAACUGGUCUGAGAGGAUGAUCAGUCACACUGGAACUGAGACACGGUCCAGACUCCUACGGGAGGCAGCAGUGGGGAAUAUUGGACAAUGGGCGAAAGCCUGAUCCAGCCAUGCCGCGUGUGUGAAGAAGGUCUUCGGAUUGUAAAGCACUUUAAGUUGGGAGGAAGGGCAUUAACCUAAUACGUUAGUGUUUUGACGUUACCGACAGAAUAAGCACCGGCUAACUCUGUGCCAGCAGCCGCGGUAAUACAGAGGGUGCAAGCGUUAAUCGGAAUUACUGGGCGUAAAGCGCGCGUAGGUGGUUUGUUAAGUUGGAUGUGAAAUCCCCGGGCUCAACCUGGGAACUGCAUUCAAAACUGACAAGCUAGAGUAUGGUAGAGGGUGGGUGGAAUUUCCUGUGUAGCGGUGAAAUGCGUAGAUAUAGGAAGGAACACCAGUGGCGAA